UACGGGGGGAGCAAGCGUUGUUCGGAUUUACUGGGCGUAAAGGGCGCGUAGGCGGUCAGCACAAGUCAGUUGUGAAAUCUCCGAGCUUAACUCGGAAAGGUCAACUGAUACUGUGCGACUAGAGUGCGGAAGGGGCAACUGGAAUUCUUGGUGUAGCGGUGAAAUGCGUAGAUAUCAAGAGGAACACCUGCGGCGAAGGCGGGUUGCUGGGCCGACACUGACGCUGAAGCGCGAAAGCGUGGGGAGCAAACAGG
Molecule: ribosomal RNA, 254 nt
Filed under: uncultured bacterium
Lineage: Bacteria
Description: partial 16S ribosomal RNA
Rfam family: Bacterial small subunit ribosomal RNA
Source: RNAcentral